AGCUCCCAGAUUCAUCAGAAUUAUUCCACCGACGUGGAGGCAGCCACUAACCUCCUGGUCAAUUUGCAUCAGUGAGCCUCUUCCACCCACUCUCGCUGGGCUUCUGUCUCCAUCAUGAUGAUGUGGCUCUGGAAGCUGUGGGCCACUUCUAUGAAUUGGACAAGGAGAAGCACGGAGCUCCAAGCAUCUCUUGAAGAUACAAAACCAGUGUGGCAGCAGUGCUGUAUUCCAGGACAUCCAUAAGUCACCUCAAGAUGAGUGGGGUAAAACCCUGGAUGCCAUGGGAGCCGCCACGGCCUUGGAGAAGAAGCUGAACCAGGGUCUUUUAGAUCUUCAUGUCCUGGGUUCUGCCCACACAGACCUCCAUAUCUUGACUUCCUGGAGAGCCACUUCCUCAAUGAGGAAGUGAAACUCAUCAAGAAGGUGGACAACCACCUGACCAACCUUGAUAGGUUGACUGGCCCCCAGGCCAGGCUGGGCAAAUUCCUCUUCCAAAGGCUCACCCUCAGGCAUGAC
This 516-nucleotide long non-coding RNA is filed under the name Homo sapiens (human). RNAcentral describes it as "non-protein coding lnc-CADM1-7:1". The record is from RNAcentral. Lineage: Eukaryota; Metazoa; Chordata; Mammalia; Primates; Hominidae.